Molecule: long non-coding RNA, 324 nt
Organism: Anopheles coluzzii
Lineage: Eukaryota; Metazoa; Arthropoda; Insecta; Diptera; Culicidae
Exons: 5
Source: RefSeq, a predicted model, not a curated record
GGUUCGUGUACGUGUACGUGUGGAUUGCUGGAAGGUUGCUGGUAGCUGGUUGCUGGUAGCUGCAGCUGCGGGAAGGGCUGUAUUGCUGGAAGGUAGCUGGUAGCUGGUUGCUGGUAGCUGCAGCUGCGGGAAGGGCUGUAUUGCUGGAAGGUUGCUGGUAGCUGGUUGCUGGUAGCUGCAGCUGCGGGAAGGGCUGUAUUGCUGGAAGGUUGCUGGUAGCUGGUUGCUGGUAGCUGCAGCUGCUGGUUUUUCAUCGUUCCGGUACGCCACGAAGACCUCAAAGUUUUUUGUUAUAUAAAAAUAAACAAAAAGAAAGAAAGAAAA